RNAcentral lists this ribosomal RNA (505 nucleotides) under uncultured bacterium. RNAcentral's name for it is "bacterial SSU rRNA". It matches the Rfam family "Bacterial small subunit ribosomal RNA", at positions 899 to 1397 of the family's 1533-position model. The record is from RNAcentral.
ACUCAAAGGAAUAGACGGGGGCCCGCACAAGCGGUGGAGCAUGUGGUUUAAUACGUCACUAACCGUAGAACCUUACCCAGGCUUGACAUCCUGUGUAAGUCCAUGAAAGUGGUACCCCUGCAUAGCAAUAUGCAGCACAGAGACAGGUGUUGCAUGGCUGUCGUCAGCUCGUGUCGUGAGAUGUUGGGUUAAGUCCCGCAACGAGCGCAACCCUCAUCCGAUGUUGCCAGCGUAAAGUCGGGAACUCUUCGGAAACUGCCCGUGUAAGCGGGAGGAAGGUGGGGAUGACGUCAAGUCAGCAUGGCCCUUACGCCUGGGGCUACACACAUGCUACAAUGGACGUGAACAAAGGGCAGCAAUACCGCGAGGUGGAGCUAAUCUCAAAAAUACGUCCUCAGUUCGGAUUGCAGUCUGCAACUCGACUGCAUGAAGUCGGAAUCGCUAGUAACCGCAGGUCAGCUAAACUGCGGUGAAUACGUUCCCGGGCCUUGUACACACCGCCCGU